UCACAAAGGGCCGGGCAAGGCCCCGUGUGAUUAAAUGGGAAUGCCGUGAAAAUCGGCAGCAGUUCCCGCUGCUGUAAGUUCCGAUAGUUGCCGCGACACGCUGAAAGCCACUGGUCCGAGAGGGCCGGGAAGGCGUUGCGGCAGGAACGAGCCAGAAGACCUGCCUUGCAGCUUCCCGACGA
This 182-nucleotide non-coding RNA is filed under the name Alistipes shahii. Lineage: Bacteria; Pseudomonadati; Bacteroidota; Bacteroidia; Bacteroidales; Rikenellaceae. The record is from RNAcentral.